GAUUGGCGAUCCGUUGGAUACCGACCGAGUUAUAGGCAAAACUUGGGGCAAAAAUGAGCCUUAUGAAAUAUUCAAAUUUUAUAUUUUUUAAUUUUUUUUUAUAAUUUUUCAUUUUUUUUUUGUUUAAAACAUUAUUUGAGUGAAAAGAAACUUAUUGCAACCAAUUGGCAUUGAAAUAAAUCAAUUUAAAUUUUUUUGCAAAAUUUCCCAAAAAAAUCGUAAGGGGUAAGCCUUAUGAAAUUUUCGAGUGGAAAUUUUUUUUUAAAUUUUUUUCUGAUUUUUUAUUCUUUUUUUACUUUAAAGCAUUAUUUGAGUGAAAAGAAACUUAGUGCAACAAAUUCGCAUUAAAUUAUAUCAAUUUUUUAAAUUUUGCUGAAUUGCUCAAAAAUGAGGAAAAUUUUACAUUUUCUCAAACAGGGUAUGGAACUUGGUUCCUCGAAUAACUUCUGGCACAGACAUCUGAGGGCAUGGCCGUCCAAGAAGAAAAUGUAGCCAUUGGUGCCAUCUAUCGACCACAGGUUAAAGAUUGGCGAUCCGUUGGAUACCGACCGAGUUAUAGGCAAAACUUGAUGCAAAAAUGAAGAAAAUUUUACAUUUUCUCAAGCAGGGUAUGGAACUUGGUUCUUCGAAUAACUUCUGGCACAGACAUCUGAGGGCAUGGCCGUCCACGAAGAAAAUGUAGCCAUUGGUGCCAUCUAUCGACCACAGGUUAAAGAUUGGCGAUCCGUUGGAUACCGACCGAGUUAUAGGCAAAACUUGGCGCAAAAAUGAGCCUUAUGAAAUUUUCAAAUUUUAUAUUUUUAAAUUAUUUUAUAAUUUUUCAUUCUUUUUUUGUUUAAAACAUUACUUGAGUGAAAAGAAACUUAUUGCAACCAAUUGGCAUUAAAAUAAAUCAAUUUAAAUUUUUUUGCAAAAUUUUCCAAAGAAAACGUAAGGGGUAAGCCUUAUGAAAUUUUCGAGUGAAAAUUUUUUUUUUAAUUUUUUUCUGAUUUUUUAUUCUUUUUUUACUUUAAAGCAUUAUUUGAGUGAAAAAAAACUUAUUGCAACAAAUUCGCAUUAAAUUAUAUCAAUUUUUUAAAUUUUGCUGAAUUGCUCAAAAAUGAGGAAAAUUUUACAUUUUCUCGAACAGGGUAUGGAACUUGGUUCCUCGAAUAACUUCUGGCACAGACAUCUGAGGGCAUGGCCGUCCAAGAAGAAAAUGUAGCCAUUGGUGCCAUCUAUCGACCACAGGUUGAAGAUUGGCGAUCCGUUGGAUACCGACCGAGUUAUAGGCAAAACUUGGCGCAAAAAUGAGCCUUAUGAAAUUUUAUAUUUUUUAAUUUUUUUUUAUAAUUUUUCAUUCUUUUUUUGUUUAAAACAUUACUUGAGUGAAAAGAAACUUAUUGCAACCAAUUGGCAUUAAAAUAAAUCAAUUUAAAUUUUUUUGCAAAAUUUCCCAAAAAAAUCGUAAGGGGUAAGCCUUAUGAAAUUUUCGAGUGGAAAUUUUUUUUUAAAUUUUUUUCUGAUUUUUUAUUCUUUUUUUACUUUAAAGCAUUAUUUGAGUGAAAAGAAACUUAUUGCAACAAAUUCGCAUUAAAUUAUAUCAAUUUUUUAAAUUUUGCUGAAUUGCUCAAAAAUGAAGAAAAUUUUACAUUUUCUCAAACAGGGUAUGGAACUUGGUUCCUCGAAUAACUUCUGGCACAGACAUCUGAGGGCAUGGCCGUCCAAGAAGAAAUUGUAGCCAUUGGUGUCAUCUAUCGACCACAGGUUGAAGAUUGGCGAUCCGUUGGAUACCGACCGAGUUAUAGGCAAAACUUGGCGCAAAAAUGAGUCUUAUGAAAUUUUCAAAUUUUAUAUUUUUUAUUUUUUUUUUAUAAUUUUUCAUUUUUUUUUGUUUAAAACAUUAUUUGAGUGAAAAGAAACUUAUUGCAACCAAUUGGCAUUGAAAUAAAUCAAUUUAAAUUUUUUUGCAAAAUUUCCCAAAAAAAUCGUAAGGGGUAAGCCUUAUGAAAUUUUCGAGUGGAAAUUUUUUUUUAAAUUUUUUUCUGAUUUUUUAUUCUUUUUUUACUUUAAAGCAUUAUUUGAGUGAAAAGAAACUUAGUGCAACAAAUUCGCAUUAAAUUAUAUCAAUUUUUUAAAUUUUGCUGAAUUGCUCAAAAAUGAGGAAAAUUUUACAUUUUCUCAAACAGGGUAUGGAACUUGGUUCCUCGAAUAACUUCUGGCACAGACAUCUGAGGGCAUGGCCGUCCAAGAAGAAAAUGUAGCCAUUGGUGCCAUCUAUCGACCACAGGUUAAAGAUUGGCGAUCCGUUGGAUACCGACCGAGUUAUAGGCAAAACUUGAUGCAAAAAUGAAGAAAAUUUUACAUUUUCUCAAGCAGGGUAUGGAACUUGGUUCUUCGAAUAACUUCUGGCACAGACAUCUGAGGGCAUGGCCGUCCACGAAGAAAAUGUAGCCAUUGGUGCCAUCUAUCGACCACAGGUUAAAGAUUGGCGAUCCGUUGGAUACCGACCGAGUUAUAGGCAAAACUUGGCGCAAAAAUGAGCCUUAUGAAAUUUUCAAAUUUUAUAUUUUUAAAUUAUUUUAUAAUUUUUCAUUCUUUUUUUGUUUAAAACAUUACUUGAGUGAAAAGAAACUUAUUGCAACCAAUUGGCAUUAAAAUAAAUCAAUUUAAAUUUUUUUGCAAAAUUUUCCAAAGAAAACGUAAGGGGUAAGCCUUAUGAAAUUUUCGAGUGAAAAUUUUUUUUUUAAUUUUUUUCUGAUUUUUUAUUCUUUUUUUACUUUAAAGCAUUAUUUGAGUGAAAAAAAACUUAUUGCAACAAAUUCGCAUUAAAUUAUAUCAAUUUUUUAAAUUUUGCUGAAUUGCUCAAAAAUGAGGAAAAUUUUACAUUUUCUCGAACAGGGUAUGGAACUUGGUUCCUCGAAUAACUUCUGGCACAGACAUCUGAGGGCAUGGCCGUCCAAGAAGAAAAUGUAGCCAUUGGUGCCAUCUAUCGACCACAGGUUAAAGAUUGGCGAUCCGUUGGAUACCGACCGAGUUAUAGGCAAAACUUGGCGCAAAAAUGAGGAAAAUUUUACAUUUUCUCAAACAGGGUAUGGAACUUGGUUCCUCGAAUAACUUCUGCCACAGACAUCUGAGGGCAUGGCCGUCCAAGAAGAAAAUGUAGCCAUUGGUACCAUCUAUCGACCACAAGUUGAAGAUUGGCGAUCCGUUGGAUACCGACCGAGUUAUAGGCAAAACUUGGCGCAAAAAUGAGUCUUAUGAAAUUUUCAAAUUUUAUAUUUCUUAAUUUUUUUUUAUAAUUUUUCAUUCUUUUUUUGUUUAAAACAUUAUUUGAGUGAAAAGAAACUUAUUGCAACCAAUUGGCAUUAAAAUAAAUCAAUUUAAAUUUUUUUGCAAAAUUUCCCAAAAAAAUCGUAAGGGGUAAGCCUUAUGAAAUUUUCGAGUGGAAAUUUUUUUUAAUUUUUUUUCUGAUUUUUUAUUCUUUUUUUACUUUAAAGCAUUAUUUGAGUGAAAAGAAACUUAUUGCAACAAAUUCGCAUUAAAUUAUAUCAUUUUUUUAAAUUUUGCUGAAUUGCUCAAAAAUGAAGAAAAUUUUACAUUUUCUCAAACAGGGUAUGGAACUUGGUUCCUCGAAUAACUUCUGGCACAGACAUCUGAGGGCAUGGCCGUCCAAGAAGAAAUUGUAGCCAUUGGUGUCAUCUAUCGACCACAGGUUGAAGAUUGGCGAUCCGUUGGAUACCGACCGAGUUAUAGGCAAAACUUGGCGCAAAAAUGAGUCUUAUGAAAUUUUCAAAUUUUAUAUUUUUUAAUUUUUUUUAUAAUUUUUCAUUCUUUUUUUGUUUAAAACAUUAUUUGAGUGAAAAGAAACUUAUUGCAACCAAUUGGCAUUAAAAUAAAUCAAUUUAAAUUUUUUUGCAAAAUUUCCCAAAAAAAUCGUAAGGGGUAAGCCUUAUGAAAUUUUCGAGUGGAAAUUUUUUUUUAAAUUUUUUUCUGAUUUUUUAUUCUUUUUUUACUUUAAAGCAUUAUUUGAGUGAAAAGAAACUUAUUGCAACAAAUUUGCAUUAAAUUAUAUCAAUUUUUUAAAUUUUGCUGAAUUGCUCAAAAAUGAAGAAAAUUUUACAUUUUCUCAAACAGGGUAUGGAACUUGGUUCCUCGAAUAACUUCUGGCACAGACAUCUGAGGGCAUGGCCGUCCAAGAAGAAAUUGUAGCCAUUGGUGUCAUCUAUCGACCACAGGUUGAAGAUUGGCGAUCCGUUGGAUACCGACCGAGUUAUAGGCAAAACUUGGCGCAAAAAUGAGUCUUAUGAAAUUUUCAAAUUUUAUAUUUUUUAAUUUUUUUUUAUAAUUUUUCAUUCUUUUUUUGUUUAAAACAUUAUUUGAGUGAAAAGAAACUUAUUGCAACCAAUUGGCAUUAAAAUAAAUCAAUUUAAAUUUUUUUGCAAAAUUUCCCAAAAAAAUCGUAAGGGGUAAGCCUUAUGAAAUUUUCGAGUGGAAAUUUUUUUUAAUUUUUUUUCUGAUUUUUUAUUCUUUUUUUACUUUAAAGCAUUAUUUGAGUGAAAAGAAACUUAUUGCAACAAAUUUGCAUUAAAUUAUAUCAAUUUUUUAAAUUUUGCUGAAUUGCUCAAAAAUGAGGAAAAUUUUACAUUUUCUCGAACAGGGUAUGGAACUUGGUUCCUCGAAUAACUUCUGGCACAGACAUCUGAGGACAUAGCCGUCCAAGAAGAAAAUGUAGCCAUUAGUGCCAUCUAGCGACCACAGGUUAAAGAUUGGCGAUCCGUUGGAUAGCGACCGAGUUAAAGGCAAAAAUUGGCGCAAAAAUGAGGAAAAUUUUACAUUUUCUCGAACAGGGUAUGGAACUUGGUUCCUCGAAUAACUUCUGGCACAGACAUCUGACGGCAUGGCCGUCCAAGAAGAAAAUGUAGCCAUUAGUGCCAUCUAUCGACCACAAGUUAAAGAUUGGCGAUCCGUUGGAUACCGACCGAGUUAUAGGCAAAACUUGGCGCAAAAAUGAAGAAAAUUUUACAUUUUCUCAAACAGGGUAUGGAACUUGGUUCCUCGAAUAACUUCUGCCACAGACAUCUGAGGGCAUGGCCGUCCAAGAAGAAAAUGUAGCCAUUGGUACCAUCUAUCGACCACAAGUUGAAGAUUGGCGAUCCGUUGGAUACCGACCGAGUUAUAGGCAAAACUUGGCGCAAAAAUGAGUCUUAUGAAAUUUUCAAAUUUUAUAUUUCUUAAUUUUUUUUUUAUAAUUUUUCAUUCUUUUUUUGUUUAAAACAUUAUUUGAGUGAAAAGAAACUUAUUGCAACCAAUUGGCAUUAAAAUAAAUCAAUUUAAAUUUUUUUGCAAAAUUUCCCAAAAAAAUCGUAAGGGGUAAGCCUUAUGAAAUUUUCGAGUGGAAAUUUUUUUUUAAAUUUUUUUCUGAUUUUUUAUUCUUUUUUUACUUUAAAGCAUUAUUUGAGUUAAAAGAAACUUAUUGCAACAAAUUCGUAUUAAAUUAUAUCAAUUUUUUAAAUUUUGCUGAAUUGCUCAAAAAUGAGGAAAAUUUUACAUUUUCUCAAACAGGGUAUGGAACUUGGUUCCUCGAAUAACUUCUGGCACAGACAUCUGAGGGCAUGGCCGUCCAAGAAGAAAAUGUAGCCAUUGGCGCCAUCUAUCGACCACAGGUUAAAGAUUGGCGAUCCGUUGGAUACCGACCGAGUUAUAGGCAAAACUUGGUGCAAAAAUGAGGAAAAUUUUACAUUUUCUCAAACAGGGUAUGGAACUUGGUUCCUCGAAUAACUUCUGCCACAGACAUCUGAGGGCAUGGCCGUCCAAGAAGAAAAUGUAGCCAUUGGUACCAUCUAUCGACCACAAGUUGAAGAUUGGCGAUCCGUUGGAUACCGACCGAGUUAUAGGCAAAACUUGGCGCAAAAAUGAGUCUUAUGAAAUUUUCAAAUUUUAUAUUUUUUAAUUUUUUUUUAUAAUUUUUCAUUCUUUUUUUGUUUAAAACAUUAUUUGAGUGAAAAGAAACUUAUUGCAACCAAUUGGCAUUAAAAUAAAUCAAUUUAAAUUUUUUUGCAAAAUUUCCCAAAAAAAUCGUAAGGGGUAAGCCUUAUGAAAUUUUCGAGUGGAAAUUUUUUUUAAUUUUUUUUCUGAUUUUUUAUUCUUUUUUUACUUUAAAGCAUUAUUUGAGUGAAAAGAAACUUAUUGCAACAAAUUCGCAUUAAAUUAUAUCAUUUUUUUAAAUUUUGCUGAAUUGCUCAAAAAUGAAGAAAAUUUUACAUUUUCUGAAACAGGGUAUGGAACUUGGUUCCUCGAAUAACUUCUGGCACAGACAUCUGAGGGCAUGGCCGUCCAAGAAGAAAUUGUAGCCAUUGGUGUCAU
This is a long non-coding RNA of Anopheles funestus (African malaria mosquito), 6345 nucleotides long. RefSeq lists it as uncharacterized. NCBI's taxonomy places the organism in Eukaryota, Metazoa, Arthropoda, Insecta, Diptera, Culicidae. The transcript has 3 exons. The record is from RefSeq and is a predicted model, not a curated record.